Molecule: small RNA, 828 nt
Filed under: Pan troglodytes (chimpanzee)
Lineage: Eukaryota; Metazoa; Chordata; Mammalia; Primates; Hominidae
Description: retained intron
Source: RNAcentral
ACCCAGGCACAGACCACCUGAUCCGCUGGAGCCCGGUGAGGGCCGGGGCCCCUCGAUUCCCCCUGUGGUCCCGGGGUCCCUCCACGUCAGUGAACACCCAUGCCCGCCCAACCCCCUCCUGAGACUGGGCCGUGGAUCCCCGGAUUUGGCCAUUCAGAGAAGUUCACCUUGGAGGGGGUGUGCGAGAGGGGGGUUCCCUCUGCGGCCGAAGAAGGGUUAGGAGCCUGCCUUCUGAAGACCUAGAGUCCGAGGGACCUCCGAGGCCAUUUAGUUCCCACCCUACCCCAUCCGACAGAUGGGAAAACAGAGGCCGGGAGAUGGGAAGGGCUGGUCUAGCUCAGGGUCACAUUGCGGGGCUGGGAACCCCGUCAGCCUCUCCUUUCUGAGAACCGAGUAUGGAGUCAGGGUCUGGCUGGGGGUAGGGACUCACUGUGGUCGCUCCAGGCUAGGCCUCGGAGCCCGUUCUGGCCUGGCCUCGACCCAUAUCCCCGUAAGCGGCAGGCCUGGACCCAAGAGUGAGCAUGAGUGUGUGCGCGCGCUGGAGCGCAGGACUGGCCGUGAGCGGGCACCGCUCACCCUCCUGGUCUCCGCCCGCACGGUGGGCGGGCGGCGUUCUUGGUAGAGCGGGACCAGUUUCCUCGUAAGCGACCAGAGCCGUUUCGCCAAGGAAGUGCUGCCCCAGUAUUUCAAGCAUAGCAACAUGGCGAGCUUCGUGCGCCAACUCAACAUGUACGGUUUUCGGAAGGUGGUGAGCAUCGAGCAGGGCGGCCUGCUUAGGCCGGAGCGCGACCACGUCGAGUUCCAGCACCCGAGCUUCGUGCGCGGCCG